Potamilus streckersoni is the source of this 68-nucleotide non-coding RNA. The record is from the annotation of a GenBank genome assembly. Lineage: Eukaryota; Metazoa; Mollusca; Bivalvia; Unionida; Unionidae.
GCUGGCCUAGUGGUUAGAGCGUCCACUUCAGAUGCGGAAGGUAGUGUGUUCAAUCCCCGGUCGAGUCA